AAACAAUCUUUUGGAGGACGAGGAAAUGCAUUCAAUGUCAAGUGCAGUAGAAUACGAAGAUAUGGAAGAUGACACCAUAACAGAAAACAAGAAAGAUGUGAAGAAAAGGAGAACAAAAGGGAUAAAGAAAAAAAGAAAGAAGAAUAAAUUAAAAUUACAACUGGAAACGUCCGAGUUCAUAGAAUCCUUACACGAGACAUUAGGUAUGUUUUGUCUUGCACUAAUGAUAAAGUACUU
Long non-coding RNA from Saccostrea cuccullata (small rock oyster), 237 nucleotides. RefSeq lists it as uncharacterized. NCBI's taxonomy places the organism in Eukaryota, Metazoa, Mollusca, Bivalvia, Ostreida, Ostreidae. The transcript is spliced from 3 exons. The record is from RefSeq and is a predicted model, not a curated record.